Long non-coding RNA from Carlito syrichta (Philippine tarsier), 352 nucleotides. RefSeq lists it as uncharacterized. The record is from RefSeq and is a predicted model, not a curated record. Lineage: Eukaryota; Metazoa; Chordata; Mammalia; Primates; Tarsiidae. The transcript has 2 exons.
ACUGAAAGGGAAGGACGCCUUGUUUUUUCCUGAGUUGCUUCUGGGUUCUUUGACCACAGUUGACGGGAGGAUAACAGCCGAGGGUCAUCACCGCGUUACAAUUGUGGGAACUGGCGAGGCCCUGUGGCUUGCCUGGGGACCGGUCACUAUGCAGCGGAGGCCCAGCGGCAGGAAGACUGGACCUCCAGGAGGACCGGAGGCGGGUCCUGCCGUCUCUCCCGGACCGAGUGCUCAAGAACUCCACACACGGUCCCUCCCUAGACGGUGCUCUCCGGGGUGAGGGGAAAAGAACCACUGAUGAGAAACAUCCAUUUAAAAUAAAUAGUUUAUUCAUCCAGCGGUUUAAACCCUG